GAAGUCCUGGGCAAUCUGGCUGUGACAUCCAUCACCCCAUUGACUGCUAGUGUUGUUUCAGCUGAUCUGGCUGGCUAAGCAGGUGACCCCUUCCCCCCUCACUGCUUCAUGUAUGUCCCCCUAACCCGAAGCUGCACGCUCAGUCGAAGAGGACAACCUUCCCUGAUAGAGGAGGACAGUUCUUCAGUCAGGGGUGUACGAGCAGCUGCCCUCCCCUGCUAGAACCUCCAAAUACGCUCUCAAGAGUGAAAUCCCUAUUCCAGUCUCAAAUAUCUCAUGCAACACUGGUUUCAGCCUAGUGAACCCACAAAAGACUACAGAAGGGAGGCCAGCAUAAUU
Camelus ferus (Wild Bactrian camel) is the source of this 339-nucleotide non-coding RNA. Lineage: Eukaryota; Metazoa; Chordata; Mammalia; Artiodactyla; Camelidae. The record is from Rfam.